AUACGGAGGGUGCGAGCGUUGUCCGGAAUUAUUGGGCGUAAAGAGCUCGUAGGCGGUUUGUUGCGUCGGCUGUGAAAUCCCGAGGCUCAACCUCGGGUCUGCAGUCGCUACGGGCAAACUAGAGUGUUGCCGGGGAGACUGGAAUUCCUGGUGUAGCGGUGCAAGGCGCAGAUAUAAGGAGGAACUCCGGUGGCGAAGGCGGGUCUCUGGGAAACAACUGACGCUGAGGAGCGAAAGCGUGGGGAGCGAACAGGAUUAGAUACCCUGGUAGUCCACGCCGUAAACGUUGGGCGCUAGGUGUGGGGCUCAUUCCACGAGUUCCGUGCCGCAGCUAACGCAUUAAGCGCCCCGCCUGGGGAGUACGGCCGCAAGGCUAAAACUUAAAGGAAUUGACGGGG
This 398-nucleotide ribosomal RNA is filed under the name uncultured bacterium. Its description in RNAcentral is "partial 16S ribosomal RNA". It matches the Rfam family "Bacterial small subunit ribosomal RNA", at positions 523 to 918 of the family's 1533-position model. The record is from RNAcentral.